CCUACGGGCGGCAGCAGUGGGGAAUAUUGGACAAUGGGGGCAACCCUGAUCCAGCCAUGCCGCGUGUGUGAAGAAGGCCCUCGGGUUGUAAAGCACUUUCAGUGAGGAAGAACGCCUGGUGGUUAAUACCCAUCAGGAAAGACAUCACUCACAGAAGAAGCACCGGCUAACUCCGUGCCAGCAGCCGCGGUAAUACGGAGGGUGCGAGCGUUAAUCGGAAUUACUGGGCGUAAAGCGCGCGUAGGUGGCUUGAUAAGCCGGUUGUGAAAGCCCCGGGCUCAACCUGGGAACGGCAUCCGGAACUGUCAAGCUAGAGUGCAGGAGAGGAAGGUAGAAUUCCCGGUGUAGCGGUGAAAUGCGUAGAGAUCGGGAGGAAUACCAGUGGCGAAGGCGGCCUUCUGGACUGACACUGACACUGAGGUGCGAAAGCGUGGGUAGCAAACAGGCUUAGAUACCCCGGUAGUC
This 465-nucleotide ribosomal RNA is filed under the name Vreelandella stevensii. RNAcentral's name for it is "partial 16S ribosomal RNA". It matches the Rfam family "Bacterial small subunit ribosomal RNA", at positions 338 to 795 of the family's 1533-position model. Lineage: Bacteria; Pseudomonadati; Pseudomonadota; Gammaproteobacteria; Oceanospirillales; Halomonadaceae. The record is from RNAcentral.